This 514-nucleotide RNase MRP RNA is filed under the name Colletotrichum incanum. Its description in RNAcentral is "RNase MRP". It matches the Rfam family "RNase MRP". From Rfam's summary of the family: RNase MRP is an enzymatically active ribonucleoprotein with two distinct roles in eukaryotes. In mitochondria it plays a direct role in the initiation of mitochondrial DNA replication. In the nucleus it is involved in precursor rRNA processing, where it cleaves the internal transcribed spacer 1 between 18S and 5.8S rRNAs. Lineage: Eukaryota; Fungi; Ascomycota; Sordariomycetes; Glomerellales; Glomerellaceae. The record is from Rfam by way of RNAcentral.
CCCUCGUCCAACAAAUCGCCAUCGAAGCUCGCAAACAGAGACGUCUUUUUCAAAGGCGUCUCGGUCCUUUGGGCCACGCAAUGCUUUGGGAGAAAGUCCCCGGACACACGUUAUUCCCCCUUCUGGGGUGGAACAAAAACGCCGCGGAAACGCGCCGCCAUAGAAGCACAGCGGCUGACCUCCAAGACCUGCGCCCGGACGCAAUGGCCUCUCUCGCCGCCCCGCCCCGUCGCUACAUCGUCGGUAUUCUACCCUCUCGAGACCCUAGUUUGCUUGUCCUGGGACCACUUGGAUGAAGAUAUGAGUCCGCGCCUAGGAUCGGCAGACUUGAUGUCCUUGGGUACGGCAGGUGCCUUUGAUGACGGGGUGGCCGCGUGCUGGAGGUCGCUUGUCGGGCGAGUUCAAGGGUUCGUCGGAGGAGUCUUUCGUCGAGAUCGAUAGGUAUGCGAUUGCCCGUCCUCCCCCUUCAUUGGGGUGGGCGUGUUACUCGAUGGGGCUUAUUCUUGGUGCGAGG